Molecule: long non-coding RNA, 157 nt
Organism: Drosophila ficusphila
Lineage: Eukaryota; Metazoa; Arthropoda; Insecta; Diptera; Drosophilidae
Exons: 2
Source: RefSeq, a predicted model, not a curated record
GGGGGGUAUCACCCCUUCGUCCCAGUGCCGAGCCGACGCUACUGGAGCCAGAGGGAUUCUGGGGUCCAGGGAAGACCUCCGCACACUGAUGUCGCACACGCGGAUCACAACGUAGGAAACUUGUUUUCGCGCACUCGAAUAUAAAACACGUCCGGUA